This 4551-nucleotide long non-coding RNA is filed under the name Aquilegia coerulea. RNAcentral describes it as "long non-coding RNA (ACOE_LNC000799)". The record is from RNAcentral. Lineage: Eukaryota; Viridiplantae; Streptophyta; Magnoliopsida; Ranunculales; Ranunculaceae.
UCCAAGUUUCAGUUUCGUCUUCCUUCCAUCGAUAUUGUUUGUUUGCGAAUCCUUCCUUUUUCGUAAGUUUUCAAACUGAAGGUUGUAGAAAUUCUAGGUUUUGUUAUCUUUAAUGCUGGAAGAUUGAGAGUAAUGGAAAACAAAGAGGGCGAGGACGAUGAAUCGAAAAGAUCUGUUAACUCUCUCUCUCUCUCUCGCUCUCAAACAAUUGUAUUGUUUUUUAAUAUGAUAUGUUGUUAUGUUAUGCUUUUGAACUUUGUAAGAUGUUCUAGGUUUGAGAUAAUCUGUGGUUUUACAUAACUAAUUCGAUUACUGAAAUUGAUUUUUGUUUCCCUUCUUAAGCCCUAAUAUAAUAUUAACUGUUAUGAUGUUUUGCUUGAUUGCUAGAAAUUUAUAUUUUGAUAAACCAAAUCUAGAAAUCUCUGCUAUUUUUUGAAAUCAAAAGACCAAAGAUUACAUGGUAGAUAGUAUCAAAAGUUUCUUAUAAAUCAGAAAAAACCAUGGUGAAAGGUGAGAAUGAUUUUGCAAAUAUUUAAUCUUAGAAAUCUCUGAUAUUGUCUCUACCAGAUCCUCUAUAAUAAGCAUAUUCCUGGGCUUCUUCAAUAACUUAGAAGGGCUCGGACACGUUUGAGGAAAUAACCUUGCAAGUUGGAAUUACAUUGUCAGAGGAGAUGUGCCAACCAAGUUGGGAUUUCUACCAGUAGAGUGAGCUCUAGCUUUCUUUUUCUUUUGUUGCUUUUUUUGUAGUAAUAGUGCUUUGUAAUAUCUUAUACACCCUCCUAAAAAUGAAUUGUAAUAUUGAUGAACUUGCAGUACUUAGUUUCUUGGGUCAACUUUGUUUUGGCCCACUGAGGAGAUAUUUCUGUGUGGACUUCUAGAAUCAGGUGCCUUUGAAAGCGAUGGAGAAUGUGGAAAGUAUGUUGAAGAAGCUCUUUCUGCAUGUGUUUAAUCUAGUCUGGGUUUGAUGGAAUCACUGGGGAUACUCUUGAAUGAUGCUCUGGUUCAAAAACUUAGCAUCAUUAUUACAUAGAAAUAUAUCUGAUUAAGGUAAUUAAAAUCUUUGCGCAAAUAUCUAAUUUCACCAGUAUUGUUAAUAUCUAUUUCCAGGUCUAUUGUACUUCCAUUGAUAUGUUACCACAUUGCUUGGUCGUACUAAUAUCGGGUUUAAAGAUGAGUAUAUUUAUUGUUUGUUUUGGUUUUCAGAUGCUAUCAUCCAACUACAUAAAUUUGAUGAGUUGAUGGGAGACAAGAUUAUUAGCUAAUCUUUGAGAAGUGGUUGAUAUUCUUCGGCUGGAGAAUGAAAAAUACAGACAUGAGACCGAGGCUCAAAUUUCAGCCAUUCUAUGCAUUCAAUAGAGAUCAAACGUGUUGCAGGUCUUAGAAUAUAAAUUCUCUCUCUCUUUUUUUCUUCUUUUUAUCUUUAUAUAUGUGUGUGCCCUUGUAGUUUGAUGCAUGCAAACAUUCAGAAUGUUUUCUUGAAUAUUUGCUUGUUGUUUUUUGCACUGAAAUGUCUAAUUAUCUUUGUAAAAAUAUUAUAGCUUGAUUUAUUGUGGAUAACCAAGUUAAAUAUUAACAUUGAUGUAUUGCAUCAAGGAUCAAUGCAUACUCAAAAUAUCAUAUAUAGAUUUGAAGGAAGGUUGCAAACAAGUGAACAUAUGUUUAUUUUUCAAACGUUUUGACAUGGAAGCGUGAAUAUCGUGUACUUCACUUUCAGUAAGUAUUUAAAUUCUACCUGUAUGCCCCUAUAUCUAUGUGAUUUUAUUUGUACUUUUUGUUUCUUGGUGUUGGCAUAUUUUAAUUAUCAGUGUUAUAAAGAAAUAUAACGCCACUAGAAAAAAAGGCACACCAAAUAUUUUCAAAUAAACCGUUGUUUAAUUUCAAUACAGCUUUAUAACAAAUCAGAAGAUAAUCAUAAUCAAUGAAGAUAAUUGAACCACAAACCACUAUUUCAAUUUUAUGAUAGAACUUAUCGAGGGUGACACAAACAAAUAAACUCCAAUUAGGGAAACUAGAACUUGGUGAUGUGCAGCAGAUGGAUACUCAACAUUGAGCACAUUGGAAGCCAGUUAGGCUUUCUUUCAACAGGAUCUAAAAACCAAGCUGAGAGGAAGUGGGACAUUGAGAUUCUCAUAUCGAGUAUGUUAGUUGUGAUGGCUGUGCAAAGGCAAGGUGCAACAAAGCAUCAAAUAAGGGUGCAACAAGGGUAGUCAGGACUCAGGAGCAGCACCCACCUCAACUCUAACCAGCCCACCAAGAAAAUUAGUACAAAUACCUAGCUUUAGGGAAUCUCUUACUCUCUUAGACAUGGACCAUAAUGAAUGAAUACUAGGCUUUGGAUAAUUUGGUUUGUGAAGCUUCAAAUGGUGCUUGCAUUGGUUGGUGAGAGCAAUCAUUAGCAGUGACUAAAAGAAGGGGAUGUUUAGUAAGAGAAAGAGAACAGAUUAUGCUGAGUUCUUAAAACCGAGGUUAGAAAUAAAUAUUGUGUAAAAAAUUCAACAAUUUGUGAAAAUGGUUCACAACAAGUCUUAAAGUUGUAUGGGUAGAUUUAUCCCUUUACGAAUUUGAAAUGUGUUCCUAAGCAUUUGAUGAUUGAAUCACAUUAAGUUUGCGAAUCAAUACAAAUAAUCGUUAGAAUAAAAAAAAUAUUUUUCUUUCUAAUUUCAACUUUAGUUCCGUUCAGACUUUUAUAUGAAAAUAACAAAUAUCAGCUAGGGUUCUUAUGGUUUGAAAUGUUUAAAUUCAACAACAUACCUUUCUUAUUAUCCUAUCUCACUUAUUAGACAAGAGACCAUUGCUCUGCAUGGUCACUGCAUAAUGCAUAUAGAUAUGUGAGUAAUUUGAUCAGUCUUCUUUGCUCUCUCUUGUACAUUUUAUAAAUCCCUUGCCAUGGUUCUUGACAAAAGGAGUACUAUGUAUUCUUCUUAGUCUUUGUACUUGCUUGGCCCAGAUGAUACUGGCACAAAGAGUAUAUCCUACAUUGGUUUCUUGGCGGAACUUCCAACCUCUUUCUGCAUCCUUCCUCUAGUCGUUGACUUAUCUUCCCUUUUCUCUUUGGAGUUCGACUCACUUACUUCCUCAUUUUCCAUCAUAAAAGAUUUCCUCUUUUUGAAUGGAGUGAUCAUAGCUCUUUCUGUAGUUUCUUGUCCUGUUAUUAGAAAUCAAACAAUACCAACUUAAAUAGAUGAAUUCAUAGUUGUGAUUUCGUAAGUGAUUUCUUUAAAUUACAAUCUUCCUUUUUUUUUUUGAAAGUCAAGUUCGUUUCAGUUUCUUUGUUUAAUUAAAUACAUUGUACAUACAGUAGUUUAGAAUUGUGUAUAACUAAGUUCGUUAUGUAAUGUAUUAAGUGCAACAAAUCCUUAGAUCCUUAAAUAAGUCAAAAUAUCUACAUCUUAAUUAAAAAAAAACAGUGUAUAUAAUAAACUCGAAAAGCAUUGAUAUUUUGCUAAAUUGAUAGAUUAUUAAUUUAUCGAUUAAUUAAUAUCUCACUAAAUAAAUAGAUUUGGGUGGUCCCAACACUAUUAGUUUAUAGGGUUUUAGUGUAUGAACUUUGUGGAUUCGGCUUGAAACAUAAUGCCUAGAAGUAGUUAGUUACAUCACUAAAAACGUGGAUGUAGCAUAUUCCUUGCUAAUCAUUAUAUAAUUAAAUAUUAUGAGUGAACACAUAUGACUAUAUUUUAUGCCGAAAGAUGUCUCUUUAAAAAAGGAUGGAGUUAUGUUCCGAUUCUCAUGAUUUAUUUUUUUUUUUCCUUAACCAAAAACACUCUUUUUUAGCGGGAUAUAUCCUUAGCAUCUUUAAUUAAGAGGGGAAGAAUUAUACAAAUGUCAAUUGUUGAAAACUAGUGAAUCUGAUGGACUUUUAAGUAACUAGUUUUCAACAAUUGAUUUGAUGAAAAAAUUUAAUUCUUCUUUAGGGCAGUCAUGUACAAAAGAAUUCUAAUUGCUGAUCAUAUAUGCUGUUUGUGUCUUAAUUAAUCUAUCUGUCACCUUUACACUGUGCUUUUACUCUUAAGGUGUGAAAGACCCUAACAAAGCCACUGAAUUUAUGGGUAUUUGUUUGCAGUGAAAGUCAGUAAAAGAUUCGAGGAAGACUUGUCCAAAAGUUGCUCUCGGGAAUGGGCUGGGUAUUAAGUUACUAAGGUCUGGCAGUUGCUGCCAUAUGCAACAAUGUGGAUAAGCUUCAAAUGGGUAGAUUUUCGUGAGGAAGGUGUUUCAGGAGGAAAUAUUGUAGGCAAGGAUCAAAGCAACUAUUUGGUUCUGGUGUGUGCUAGACUGCUAGGUCUGUAAUCUCCUUCCUUUUAUCAAUAAAUAUUUGAGUUACGAAAGAAAUCUAGUUUUCAAGUUACCAUCUAAAUAUUGGUUGCCACGUGUAAAUAAAAUGCUAAUGAAAAACAAAUCAAUGUACAAUAUUAUAUUUUUUCUAGAAGAAGGAAUUGAAACUUAAAAGAAUUAAGAUCUUACUUUGAUUAUUGGACGCCGAAGCACUUGACUGCAAAUGUUUUCCUCCUGUGUGUUCAGCACUUUUGUCCCUGCAGUUCGAGUAUGUUAUAACCA